This 440-nucleotide ribosomal RNA is filed under the name uncultured bacterium. Its description in RNAcentral is "partial 16S ribosomal RNA". It matches the Rfam family "Bacterial small subunit ribosomal RNA", at positions 338 to 795 of the family's 1533-position model. The record is from RNAcentral.
CCUACGGGAGGCAGCAGUGGGGAAUAUUGCACAAUGGGGGAAACCCUGAUGCAGCGACGCCGCGUGAGUGAAGAAGUAAUUCGUUAUGUAAAGCUCUAUCAGCAGGGAAGAAAAUGACGGUACCUGAGUAAGAAGCCCCGGCUAACUACGUGCCAGCAGCCGCGGUAAUAAGUAGGGGGCCAGCGUUAUCCGGAUUUACUGGGUGUAAAGGGAGCGUAGACGGCAGUGCAAGUCUGGAGUGAAAGGCGGGGGCUCAACCCCCGGACUGCUCUGGAAACUGUACGGCUGGAGUGCAGGAGAGGUAAGUGGAAUUCCUGGUGUAGCGGUGAAAUGCGUAGAUAUUAGGAGGAACACCAGUGGCGAAGGCGGCUUACUGGACUGUAACUGACGUUGAGGCUCGAAAGCGUGGGGAGCAAACAGGAUUAGAUACCCGGGUAGUC